GCCGCGUGCAGGAAGACGGCCCUAUGGGUUGUAAACUGCUUUUAUACGGAAGCAAUAAGGUCUAUGCAUAGAUUGAUGAGAGUACCGUAUGAAUAAGCAUCGGCUAACUCCAAGCCAGCAGCCGCGGUAAU
Molecule: ribosomal RNA, 131 nt
Filed under: uncultured Bacteroidota bacterium
Lineage: Bacteria; Pseudomonadati; Bacteroidota
Description: uncultured Bacteroidetes bacterium partial 16S ribosomal RNA
Rfam family: Bacterial small subunit ribosomal RNA
Source: RNAcentral